Molecule: long non-coding RNA, 12663 nt
Organism: Lepus europaeus (European hare)
Lineage: Eukaryota; Metazoa; Chordata; Mammalia; Lagomorpha; Leporidae
Exons: 3
Source: RefSeq, a predicted model, not a curated record
GCAGGGUGGGCCAGGUGGUCAGAUAAGGAAGCCACCUCUGAGGGUCCACGACAGGCGAGAACCUGGUGGGCCUUAAACCUGCAGGGAGGAAGUUUGCAGCCUGCCAUGCGCUGGCACCAGAAAGCGCCUGCUCUGGGGAGCUGGGCCCAGCCCUGAGUCAGCCAAACCCCUGGGACUCCCAGUUGGCGCCAGGAACUGGACUGCAGGCCGCCCGUGGGCUCUUGGUUAUAUCUCCGAAUGCCAUUAAAGUCCAGAGCAGGCCCUCGCAGGCCAGGCCGUAUUUAGCCGCAGGUUCACCGGGAGAAUAUUUCAGUGCUAUGUGAAAGCAGAGGCCUGGGCCGGGUUGCAGGCUGUCACAGGGCUAGAGUAGGCUCGCUCUCUCGCAGGCCUGGCCAAGAUGGCCGGGUGCUCGCUGGUACGGAUGCCCGGAGUCCUUGCCAGGGCUUCAGGGUCACGUGACGGACAGGCGCGUGGGAGCAGGGUGUGUGCUGGGGAAAGGUUUUCGGCCUGGUUUUGUUCUGCUAGUUUUGAAGCUGCUCCCACUCCCAGGCCGCGCCUAGGCAGCCGCCAGCCCCUCUCUCUCUGCGAUGGCCCCGUGUGAUACCCGGCUCUCGCUGAGCUAGGAGCCCCCUUUUUAGGCAUCAGCCGCUGCGGAGGGCUUAACCCUUUCCAGCUCCUCCUCCCCGCCGGGCCAGUUGCCAUGGUGGGGGGCACCUGCCUGCAGAGACCUUGAAGGUCAACGUCCCGGGGAACACUGUGCCCCCCUUCCUUCAUCUCAGAGUGGCCCCUGGACCUCAGCAACGAUUUCCCCCAUUUUGUGCCAUCUGCGAUAACCACCGAGCUCCCCUGCCCAUCCCAGAUAAUUUCAUCUGGGUUUCCAAAUUGACAAACUCACUCACAUUCCCCCAGGAGGUACUGAUGGAUUUGUGGCUCGCUGAGGUCCUUAACGAGGGUUUGGAAGACUCCCCCAGGGUAUGGGGGAAGAAGCCUGGCGCUAGGGAAUCACCCUGGUAGUCCUUUGGGAACCAGCUCUGGGAGUCCAGACCUGCAUGGUUUGCUGGGUGCAGAGGGGGGCAGUGGAUGCCGAAGCUGCCGCCUGUGACACAUCCGGGCAAUUGUGGAGAAGACGCUGGAGCCGCCGCACCCGGGAACGCACUCACUUGUUCCAAGUGUGCCCUAACGUUGUACCUUUUCUCCUUUUUAGUCUGGGUUCUCGGCGCUUCCUGCCAGCAGGUUCAUUACCGCAGGGAAAAUGAGGGACUUUUGGGGGCAGAUGUGUUUGCAUUCCAGUAUCAUAAUGCCCCUAAAAAUCCUUAUUGCUCUUGCAGUAUUCCUCGGGGUCCCGCCGACUACAAGAAGAGAGACACGUGUCCCCCAGCUGUCAGCAAGAGGUCCUCUGGCCCCCGGGGUAGAUCUCCCCUAACCACCAUGAGAAAUUAAGCAGAGCCACCCUGGAUGCAGGCUGCAGAACCUGCCCUCUGCUCUCCAGGGGCAGACGGUAGGAGCUCAGGCCUGGGAACCAGCCAGCUUUGCUCUGGGGGUUGUGGGGGAAGAAACAGGCGCUACCUGUUUGACGGGCCAGGUCCUCCUGCAGGGCCUCUGGGAUCCUCACCUUGGCAGGGGGCCCUAGGCAGUCCUGGCUAGUCCCCCAGCUCCCGAGACAGCACACUUGGCUGCUCUCUGCCUCGGUUUCCCCAUUUGCCAAGGGAAGGGCCACAGCCCAGGCUCUGGCCUCACAGAGCCCCCAAGAUGCUAGUGAGUCCAGGAAGCAGUGAUGGACAAGUGGGAGGGUGCAAGCUUCGCCAACAGGACGUCAAAGCAUGCAACAUGGAGCGUGCUGACACCAGUAUUUGUCCACAGUGCCUAAAACGGCACUCGGGAGGGGAGAGUGCAGCCCAGCAGCAAGCCCCAGGGUCUGGAAUCAGCCAGGCCUGCAUUCCAGCGCCGCAACCCUCCGGCUGUGUGACCCCAGGCCGGUGACUCAGCCUCUCUGGGCCUCCGGUUCCUCAGGAGGAGCCUCGCCAGGCUAACAUGCCUAUCUUUUAAGCAGUACCUGGCUAAGGAAGUGCAUUAUUGUAACUCGCACAGCUCAUGCCUCUGUGGUAAGUGGUUGGUUUUCCAUUCAUGGCAGGGAUAUGGGGAGGGUUCCUCCCCCCCCCCCCGCCUUGUUUUUUAACCUCAAUUUAUGUAAGGAAAAACACAGUUGGUCUCUUGAAAGAAAAAAUGCUGCACAGGUGGCCCAGGGGUGGGGCAGGGAUCAAGGUGGUCGUCGGGAAUUUUCUUAGGGGCACUUGGAGCGUUUUUUAUUUCCUUAGGGAUUUUCUAUUCCAUGGGGUGGGGGGAGGGGAGAAGAGGGAGGUUUCCCUCUAAACCCCACGGAGGGCUCCAGCGGUUCCAAAUCUGGGCGUCACAGGUGUCCCUUGUCAGGGGGAGCCGCCCACCGUGCACCCCAACACCCCUCAGCCCCGCCCCCAGUGCCAGUUCCUCUCAUUGUGGAAUCAGGUGCCCCCCCUAGUGCGCUCGUGCCAGCCAGCCCACCUCUCCGAGGCUCGGAAAACGGGGAGCCCAGUGAACCCGCUAUGCGCGAGGACGCACAGAGUAACGGGGCUCAACGCAGAGGCCACGAUGGCUCGUGAGCGGGCGCCACGGCCCCGAGGGGCCCCUGUGCUGCACGCAGGCCGGGGUGUGCCUGGCCACAGGGAUCCCACUCCCCCCCCCCCCAGGGUGUUUUCGUAGGGAAGCAGCGGGCGCUCGCCCGGCCAGCAGGAACCAACUCUGGUUUCACUUUCUGCUGUGUCAUGGAGUGGGAGGGUGGCAGAGGGGCCCAGCUGGCCAGCUGCGUUGGGCACAGAGACCAGGGGACAGCUGCUCCCGGCACCCAAGCCCCGCCCCGCCGGCUGCUGCGUGGGGGAUGGGCUCACGGGGCACCCCUCUCCACGGGCACGGCGGGGAGAACCCCCAAGAGCCAUGGGACCUCGAGAUUGGACAACCACGCAGGCCUGGAACUGGCUCUGCCCCAGCAGGGACACCUGCACCUGCCAGCUCUACCGUGUGCAAAGCGCGGUGCCAGGGGCCCGAGUCCCCGCAGGGAGCGAGGCCCAGCCUCUGCCCGCACCGUGGGUCUGUGGAGGCAGAUAUAAGUGCCUGCACGAGGAACGCAGCGUGGGUUAGGGUGAAGGCGCCACGCGGAGUGCUGUCACUCGGCGGCCCCAGGCAGGGGUCUAGAGCGCAUGCGUAUCUCUGAAGUCCUGGCGCGGCAGACGCAGGGGCCGAGUAGCAGGUGUUUUGACUUCGGCUGCAGACGGCGCCUGUGUCGCUGCCCAGUUCCGUCCUUGGCCUUCCAGGUGCAGAAUAAUAGGGCGCCGCAGAGGGAUCUAAGAAGUGACUGAAGAGCCCGGCCUGGCCUCUGCGCUAUAUAUGUCUUAGCCGUUAUGUAAGAGUAAUGACGGCGAACCGCAUCGUCACAGCAGGCCGGCCGGGGCCGCGGAGGCCAUCCUCUGUGCCGGCUCCACCUCCCCACGAGCUGGGCCCUGCAGGGUGACUGGGGCCGGCCCCAUGCUGGACUUCAGCCGUGGGGCCCUUGAACGGGUUCAUGCUCUGCUAUUGUCAACUUGAACUUCUGAAUUUUUAUGUGAAAGGGCAAGAGCGCUCUUCCAUACAGUGGUUCGUUCCCCCAGCUUCCAGGGCUGGGCCUGUCCAGGGCCAGGAGCCCGGAACCCAAUCUGGGUCCCCUCCAUGGGUGGCAGGGACCCAAUGCUUCAGCCAUCACCCGCUGCCUCCCAGGGUGUGCGUGAGCAGGAUGCUGGACUCAGAAGCAGAGAUGGAGGCUGACCCCAAGCAGCCUCUCACCCACUGCACCAAACACCCAACCCUUGACAUUCUUAAUUUUGGACCGAGGGGCCCUACCUUUUCAUGUUGCAAGUCAUGUAGGCAAUUUUGCCCUGUUUUCAUGCGCCACGAAGUCUUCACGAGUAACCACCAUCAGCAGUAUGAAUACAGCAGGCAGCUGGGUCCAGAGCAAUUUUCCAGCUCAUCAAUUCAGCCUUUGCUGUGCAGCUGAAACGCUGGGGUGAAUAUGAAGAUUCAGUACAUGGGGCCAGCAUCGUGGCUUAAGCCACCGCCUGCAGUGCUGGCAGCCCAUAUGGGUGCCAUUUCCAGUCUGGACGCUGGCUGCUCCACUUCCGAUCCAGCUCCCUGCUAAUGCGCCUGGGAAAGCAGCAGCAGGUGGCCCAGGUGCUUGGGCCCCUGCCACCGAUGUGGGAGACCCAGAUAGAGUUCCAGGCUCCUGGCGUUGGCCUGGCCCAGUCCUGGCUGCUGCAGCCAUUUGGGGGAGUGAACCAGCAAUGGAAGGUCGCUGUCUCUGCCCAUUGCUCUCUGUGAUCCUGCCUUUCAAAUAAAUAAGUACAUCUUUAAAAAAAAAAAAAAAAUUCACUUCAAGGCUCAGUUGCCCAAAAUCCUGUCUUCUGCAUGGAAAGCUGCAGAACUGACAGCUGAGUUGAGACCAUGGCUCUUUUGGCACUGUGUCUGCAGGUCCUAGCAUAUAUUAGCUAGGACCAGCUCUGUUAACAGCUGUACACGGAAACCAACGAAUGGGAGGUUGCUGCAUGGUUUCGAACCAAACCUACUAAAAUGACAUCUUCCAGAGAAGCAGGUCAGUGGUGCUGUGCCAGUCCUGGCCACCCCAACUUUUUUCUGGACAGCCCCCGAGGAUCUGGGAGACUCAGAUCUCUUACGACCCUCUCCCUGGGGCCCCGGGCUGUGGCGCAGUAGGUUCAAGCGCUCUCUACCAUGCCAGUAUCUGAGCACCGGUUUGAGUCCCAGCUGCCCCAUUUGCAACCCAGCUCCCUGCCGACGCACCUGGGAAAACAGCAAAGAUGGACCAAGUUCUUGGGUCCUUGCCAAUCACGUGGGAGACCUUGCUCCUGGCUUUGGCCUGACCCAGCCCCGAUCAUUGUCGCCAUUUGGGAAUGAACUAGCGGAUGGAAGAUCUCUCUGUAACUCUGCCGUUUAUAUAAAUAAAUAAUUAAAAAAAGAAGAUCCUCUCCCUUCCCCCCAAACCUGCUGAAGGCUUGUAGUAGAUUCUUGUUUGGCGUCUGGUGGGAAGUUCAAAGGCAACACAAGUGUCUAAAGGCCUAUAGGCCUGCUCUGUGAAUCCUGUUACUAAGAGGCAGAGUGAACUCCAAGAACACUUUGGUUCUGCCCGGGUUCAAGACCCAACCAGGGGACAGGGGUCAUCGUUUCAUGGGCUGUUAAAGGAGAGGACUGCAAGUCAAGAUCCUUUUUCCUUGAAAUUAAAAUUCCUCUCCACUCUGCAGAUGCCAAGGUAUAAAUAUUACCAAGAAGCAAAGAAUCAUUCCAAAAGCCUUUAAGAUAUUUGUAACAAAAAUAAACAUUUCUGCGGUUCAUGGCCAGCUCUUUGCACAGGCACGGCCCGUCGUCACCAUGACAAGCCUGUGAAAGCAUUACUGUCCUCAUUUGCUAUAUAAUGUCAUAACCAGCUCGAGUGCUUCCCACGUGGGAAGUCAGUGCAGGGACACAGCAGCAUGGAACGCAGGUCCUGUCACCAGCCUCAAGCUUAGAGGAACUGGCUUGUUCAGAGCCACACGUGCAGCAGGUGGCUAAGCGAGGGGUUCAGCUUGCCUCUUCUAUCCCAAGGGUAAAUCUCCAAAGUUUUCCAGGCUCUCUGGUCUCUGCCUUGAAACUAGACAAUAGCCUCAGACAAUACACGAAUGAAUGUAGGUAGCUGUGUGUUCUAAUAAAACUUUAUUUACAAGAACAAGAAAUGGGCCAAAUUUGGCCCCCAGGCCAUGGUUUGCCAGCCCCUGUUCUAGACCAGAAACCUGCCUUUCAGGUGGAACAAAGUGAACUGGCCCUGGCCUCUUGUUCUCCCCGCCCCCACCCCACCCCCCAUGAGGGAAUCAAGUUACAUUCUAGAACUGAUGGCCAAGGUCUCUCCCUAGACUGUUAGCUCCUCCUUCCUUAAAGGAGUUCUGAAGCUCUUGGAAGUUGCAACUAGUCCUUAAUAGUCAUUGCUAACAUUUUUACAUUGUAACUUUCAUAGCUGUCAACUAACAUUUUUUAAUUAAGAAUCUCAUAAAAAUUUAGUAUCACUUUAUUUGAAAAGGCACAGAGAGAAAACUCUUUCAUCCAAUGGUUCGUGGUCCCAGUGCCUACAUCAGCCACGGCUGGACCAGGCUGAAGUCAGGAGCCCAGAGCUCAAUGUGAGUCUCCCACAUGGGGUGGCAGGGACCCAACUGUUGAACCAUCAGGGCUGCCCCACAGGUUAUGCAUGAGCAGAAAGCUGGAUCAGAAGAGUAGUCAGGGCUCAAACCUGGCAUUCUGAAAUGGGAUGUGGGAGUCCCAGGCAGCUCUUCUUUUUUUUAAAAAAAGAUUUUAUUUGUUUAUUUGAAGGGCAGAGAUAGGGAGGUAGGAGCCCAAUUCCUUGAACCAUCACCUGCUGCCUCCCCAGAGUGCAUAUUAGUAGGGAGCUGGGAUCAGGAACAGAGCUGGGACUCAGACCCAGGCACUCUGCUGUGGGCCCUGGUGACCCGAGCAGUGUCUUAACCGCUAGGUAGUGUCCUCCCUAAGACACAACACUUUCUACUGUUGCAGACCUUCAGGCAGAGUUUCAACAUUCACAUUUCCUUGUGUGGAUAGAAUUGGGCAAAUGAGGGAUUGGACAGACUCUGAAGUGAGCCAGUGAUGGGCGGGGAAACAAAUAGCCCUAGCGUGAGUCAGGAAGGGGCUAUGUAAUUCGCAGGAUCCAGGGGAAAGCCAAACCAUAGAACUCGGUGUUCAAAAAUUAAGACUUGCAGGGAAGGGCAUUUGGCCUCACGUGGCCUAGCAAUUAGAUACAGUGUCCCACAUCAGAGGACCUGGGUUCAAUUCUCAGCUCUGGCUCCUGACUCCAGCUUCCUGUUAAUGCAGACCCUGGGAGGCAGCAGAUGGAGUGCCUGGUUCCUGCCUUUGGCCCCAGUCCAGCUCUGCUGUUGUAAGCAUUUGAGGAGUGAGCCAAUGAAUGGGAGGGAGCUCUCUAUGUAUCUCUCAAAUGAAGAUGAAAAAUCAAAAUUAAGACAUUCAAGAGGGGCCAGCGCUGUGGCACAGUGGGUUAAAGCCCUGGCCUGAAGCACUGGCAUCCCAUAUGGGCACCGGUUCAAGAUCCGGCUGCUCCACUUCCCAUCCAGCUCUCUGCUAUGGCCUGGGAAAGCAGAAGAUGGCCCAAGUGCUUGGGCCCCUGCACCUGUGUGGGAGACCCGGAAGAAGCUCCUGGCUCCUGGCUUCAGAUUGGUGCAGUUCUGGCUGUUGCAGCCAAUUGAGGAGUGAACCAUUGGAUGGAAGACCUCUCUCUCUCUCUCUCUCUGCCUCUCCUCUCUCUGUGUAACUUUCACUUUCAAGUUAAAAUAAAUAAAUCUUAAAAAAAAAAAAAAAAAGACAUUCAAGAUGGCGACAGCAGAGCCUGAUCAAGUGUGGUCCUGCAUGAGGGCACAGGUUCCCUGUGUCUGAGGCCAGCCCCGCCCUGAGGUUAGCCAAAGGGUCUGCCAAGCAGAACUGAUUCUGUGGAUUUGGGAAUCCAGAACCUGCCACUCCUGGGAGAGACACAAGCACCAUUUACCCCUAAUCCCUGGAAAGCUCCCAAAGAAAGCUGGGUCUCCCAUGCCAUGUAGAGCAAGAUGCAAACUCGUUUCAUCUGAAUCCCCAAAAAUAAGAUGACCUCAGCUGACAUGUGGGUUAUAAGCACAUUUAAACAAAUUGUCUUAAGCCUUCUUCCCUAAGAGCCGCAGUUGUUUUAUGUGGCUGUAUCAUUUUGUCCUGGUUCCUGAGUGUACUCUGAUACCCCAGAUGACAGGGCUGCAGCCUUAAGAACAGAGGCCCCCCGGGGCCAGGGCUGCCCCAUAGUAGCAGGUGGCCAUGGUCCACACUGGCAUCCCUCUGUGACCCCAGAGGCUGCUCGGCCCAGAAAGAACACCAGCGCAACAAGCCUGGUUUCCUGUGCUUACCCAAACCCUCAGCCCCAUUACUCAAGAUCUUCACUCAAGACACUCAGCCAUUCAGAGCCCCCAGUGUGUGGGAUGACACCCACAGGUGCACUUAAGCUAACAGAGGCUUCUCAUGCAAGGGGCCCGGCCUGGGAAAGGUGGGGUGAGGGAGGAGGGACGGACUCAGUGAGGACUUCGCAGCCCUCCGGGUCCCCUCCUGAGAUUGUGUCGGUCGCUAGCCCAUAAUUCCUUUCUCCUGGGAUUCUGCACCUGCUUCAUCAAGUGCCCAGGCCUGGCCGGGAUCUUACACAACAAUCGAGAGAGACGCCACGCCUACGCUGAGGGGGCACGAGAUGCCGUCUGAAAGCUGGACAGACGUUUGAAAUGUGGUCACAAUAACGGAACAACCGCCAAAAGUAACUACAACCAUCAGUCUCGGUAGAUCCGCUGGCGGCCAUGCAGUCUAUGGACAGCCCGAGUGGCAUGGGAAAGCAGUGUCCAGCUCAGGAUGCAAUGGUUCUCAUUAGAAGGAAUGUAGCAGCGGCACAGACAGAAGGCCCUCGAGAUGGUAGACGGCUUUCUUUUAUUUUUCUGCCAGCCUUCUCUCCCCUACUUCCGGUAACAGACCCGCCACCCCCAGGGAAUACAGCAAAAGAUGGCUGCCCACGGUACUCCUCCCUCAGCUACAGUCAAUGGGCCAGGCCUGGACACGUGAUUCAACGUGACCAAUCACAGGAGCGCACGCCUGAGCUGAGCCUCAGUGAUUGGUGCCCGUGUGGUCACAUGACCAGGGCAGAGCAUGCAGACUCCAGCUCACCUGCUGACUUCUGCUGAAUCCUGCCCUGCGCUUGUGCUGGGCUUGCAAGUCCUGCUCUCUCUGCAGGCCUCCAUCGCCCCAGCCUCAUCCACAGCCCAGGCUCUCCUCCCCUCCAGGGACGGAGCUGUCCCUUCCAGGCCUAGCCUGUCCUGGCCUCACUCUGGUCCCUGUGACUUGCCCGCCAUGAGUGGAGACACCCAGCUCAGAGACCCAGGCUUCCUCAUCUGUGCGCCUCCAGCCCUGGGCAUGCAGCAGCCCGCGGCGGAGAGAGACGGACAGAGAGUGGACGAGGAGAAACAAGCUGGCUGGUUCCUCUUUGCUCUCAUCCCGAGGGCCGCUCAGGCUCUGCACUUGUUUUCUCUGCUGGCUUCUCAGGCUCACCUCCUUGUCUCUGCUCCCUGCUCGCUGAACAGCUCACCCCAGCCCCUGCCUCGAGCCCCUGCGCCCCCCCCCCCCCAUCCCUGUUCCCAGCUCUCCCAGCCUCUCUAGCACUGUCCCCAUGGCCUGCGCACCUCCGUGUGCCAUUGACUUCUGUACUCCACCUCUCUCACUUGACUUGGUUCCAGGAGGGCAGGCAGCUUUGUUUGGUUCUCUGGGCCUCUCGGCACCUGGGCCUGUUGCCUAGUAAGUGUUCACUUAAUAUCCGUGCAUUGACUUCUUUGCGUUCACCAAGGUACACAGGCCCACCUGCUGGCUUGCUGUCCUUUGUUUUAAAAUAAUUCUUUAAAAAAAUUAUUUGAAAGGCAGAGCCACAGAGAAAAGGAGAGACAAAGAGAGGUCUUCUCUCCGCUGGUUCACUCCCCAAAUGGCCAGGACGACUAGGGCUGGGCCAGGCUGAAGCCAGGAGUCAGGAACUCCAUCCAGGUCUCCUGCAUGGGUAGCAGGGGCCCCAGCACUUGGGCCAUCCUCCUCUGCCCUCCCAGGCACGUUAGCAGGGAGCUGGAUUGGAAUUCCGGCAGCGAGGACUGGAACUGGCACUCGCGUGGGAUUCCCUUGUCAUAGCCACAGCCUCCCACCUUGCGUUCUCAGGUGCCUGUGGUUUGUAGGGUCAGGGAAGUCAGGUUGUAGGCUUCCUAGGGCCACCGGAAUGAAUCGCUACAAGCCACGUGGUUUAAGCCACCGAAAUGUAUCACCUCCCAGCUGUGGAGGCCAGGAGGGGGAAGUGCGGCAGGGCUGCUCUGCCCGGGCCAUCCAGGGAAAAGCCCCCCUUCCCGCCACCAACUUCUGCUGGCUCGGUGGCCUGCAGCCCUGGCCGCACCUCGCCAGUCUCUGCCCGUCUUCUCUCCACGCUGUUUCUGCUUCUCUCUUACGAGGACACACAUCACAUUCUGUGCCCCUCUGGAUAUUCGAGAAUCAGCGCUUCCUCUCCAGAGCCUUCACCACUUCUCAAAAACUAAUGAAUACGGAAGGCAGAGAGACAGAAAGUGGGAGAGACCCCGAGAGGGUGGGCUUCCAUCUGCUGGCUCACUCCUCAAAUGGCUGCGACAGCUGGGGCUGAGCGAGGCCAGAGCUAGGAGCCUGGAACUCUAUCCAGGUCUCCCACGUGGGUGCAGGGGCCCAAGGACGGGCGCCAUCUUCAGCUGCUUUUCCAGGGAGCUGGAUUGGAAGUGGAGCAGCUGGGACACAAACCGGCAUCCCAGACAGAAGCUCAGCCUACACUGCGCCAUGACGCUGGCCCCUUUGUCCCUUCUUUGGCCACAUCAGGUAAGAGCCACUGACUGUAGAUUGUGAAGUGGACAUAUUUUUCAUCUCUCCAGGGGCCACCACAGCUUAUUUGCCUAAAGAAACCAGAAGAUUCCCCGGCCACUGCACCAUCUGCAGGUGGAUCCCACAGCGUGUUCCUGUUGUGUUAUUAUCACUGCCUACCCAGUGUGUGCAAGCGAUUUUUAAAACAGCAUUUUCUGUGUUUUAGUUACCCCAGGAUUUAAAAAGACAAUUCCAUGCUUCUGGUAGGAGAGCAGCCCCCAAGGGGAAAGGGUGGACAGGAAGGGGGGCUCCGCCUGGAUUCUCUCCAGGUCCAGUCGUACUGUGGAGGGAGUCACCACGACACACAGUCUGCACCAUCUUCCCGAGUGUUUUGUUUAGUGUUCCCAGUGCAUUUUUUUCUUUUUUUCUUUUCUUUUUUUUUUUUAAUUUUUGACAGGCAGAGUGGACAGUGAGAGAGAGACAGAGAGAAAGGUCUUCUUUUUGCCGUUGGUUCACCCUCCAAUGGCCACCGCAGUAGGCGCGCUGCGGCCGGCGCACCGCGCUGUUCCGAUGGCAGGAGCCAGGUGCUUAUCCUGGUCUCCCAUGGGGUGCAGGGCCCAAACACUUGGGCCAUCCUCCACUGCACUCCUGGGCCACAGCAGAGAGCUGGCCUAGAAGAGGGGCAACUGGGACAGGAUCGGUGCCCUGACCGGGACUAGAACCCGGUGUGCUGGUGCCAUAAGGUGGAGGAUUAGCCUAGUGAGCCGCGGCGCCAGCCCCAGUGCAUUUUUUUCUUUCCUCCUCAGAAGGCUGGAGACUUCGCAGUGUAUUCCAAAGGCACGACAGCUCUCAGGAGCACCUCGUUCUUGUGAAUGCCUUCUAACCUCGUCCUGUACUUAACCUGCCCCUCCUGGCCAACAUUUCAGUCCACGCCAGGAUUUGGCCUUAAAAAGAUACAUACUCUUUGGCACGUGGCCAGGCUCACAUGUGAGCUAAGUUCCUAGAAGUGUGAUUUCUUGGUCAGAGGAUAUGUGCUUUAAUUUCUACAACCAUCGCCCAGCACCCCUCAAAAAGGUCAACACACACACGUCCACCAGCAGGGCUUGCGGGACACCGCCGGGGGCUGCCGUGUCCUCCCACGCCAGUGAGCAGGCAGUGUGUCAGGGAACGAAGGCACAGGCGAGGUAAGGGGACUUUAUGUGCAAAUCUGGGCUGGGGGUGGAGGUGCCCUCCCAGGCUGUCCCUGUAGCUCUCAUCUGCCUGGGUUUGAUAAACAAAGGCAGAGUCUGGGGAGGUGAGCCAGAACCGUACAGCGAGAAGCAUUGUGCAAGCCAGUAUUUAUUUCUUGAGUGUGGGUAGAACUUAAAUAUGGUCAAAACAUGCUCUUCUUUUAAUUUACACAAACAAAUAUGUUCCCAGGCUCACACCUCCGGUGCCAAGUUUCUAGGGGAAACGAGAUUGUCCUGUGAGAUGAGAAACCACUAGAGAGAAUAUGUGAAUGGGAAAGCCGCUGGGAGUUAGCGCUGCGUGCCCAGAACCGGCUACAGAGGAGCGGCUCUGUCCCGAUUGCAGAGAAACCUGCCAGCACUUGGAGCCAACGAGACGUGGAAACAGGUCAAGGCCAGAGGACGAGAGAGCUCCAGUUGUGAGAAGGCGGCCUGCUCGGCUUGGCCCGGCCUCCUCCCUCCUACCAGCAAGGCGUGCCCGGCGAGGGGCUGAUGAACCCAGGGAGAAGCCACAAGGCUACAAUAGACGGCGGGGAGAGAGCCUGCAGGUGCGGAUGGGUGCGGAUGGAUGCGACCAGCUGCAGGAGUGAGCCCCGUUUGGAUCCUGGUUGUACCAACCACGAAGGAAACAUUUAGGAGACGCAGAGAUAUUUGGAGGCAGACUAGACAUCCCCGUUACUAUCAUCGUGGAGGUCCGGGCGGGAGAACAAAAAAGCUCUUUUGGAAACCUGUGCUCAGAUAAUUAUGCCUGGGCGCGGAUGUCUCGGGAGGAUCCCAGAGGAAGACAUGAAGGCAGGCUCCUGGACAAGACAGAGGGUGUCCAUGCUGUGUGCUGCUCCUCCUCCCUGCAGGCAGGCGUCCCCACCCUGACCAGGUCAUCAGCCCAGGAAAUGCACGCGGAACACGCGCCUGGCUCGCCGUGGCCACAGAGGUGAUAAUAAACACGCAGCCUGGUUAC